GGGAGGCAGCAGUGGGGAAUAUUGCACAAUGGGCGCAAGCCUGAUGCAGCCAUGCCGCGUGUGUGAAGAAGGCCUUCGGGUUGUAAAGCACUUUCAGCGGGGAGGAAGGCGGUGAGGUUAAUAACCUCAUCGAUUGACGUUACCCGCAGAAGAAGCACCGGCUAACUCCGUGCCAGCAGCCGCGGUAAUACGGAGGGUGCAAGCGUUAAUCGGAAUUACUGGGCGUAAAGCGCACGCAGGCGGUCUGUCAAGUCGG
This 256-nucleotide ribosomal RNA is filed under the name Klebsiella pneumoniae. RNAcentral's name for it is "partial 16S ribosomal RNA". It matches the Rfam family "Bacterial small subunit ribosomal RNA", at positions 343 to 591 of the family's 1533-position model. Lineage: Bacteria; Pseudomonadati; Pseudomonadota; Gammaproteobacteria; Enterobacterales; Enterobacteriaceae. The record is from RNAcentral.